GACGAACGCUGGCGGCGUGCUUAACACAUGCAAGUCGAACGGAAAGGCCCUGCUUUUGUGGGGUGCUCGAGUGGCGCACGGGUGAGUAUCACGUGAGUAACCUGCCCUUGACUUUGGGAUAACUUCAGGAAACUGGGGCUAAUACCGGAUAGGAGCUCCUGCUGCAUGGUGGGGGUUGGAAAGUUUCGGCGGUUGGGGAUGGACUCGAGGCUUAUCAGCUUGUUGGUGGGGUAGUGGCUUACCAAGGCUUUGACGGGUAGCCGGCCUGAGAGGGUGACCGGCCACAUUGGGACUGAGAUACGGCCCAGACGCCUACGGGAGGCAGCAGUGGGGAAUAUUGCACAAUGGGCGGAAGCCUGAUGCAGCAACGCCGCGUGCGGGAUGACGGCCUUCGGGUGGUAAACCGCUUUCGCCUGUGACGAAGCGUGAGUGACGGUAAUGGGUAAAGAAGCACCGGCUAACUACGUG
This 468-nucleotide ribosomal RNA is filed under the name uncultured bacterium. RNAcentral describes it as "partial 16S ribosomal RNA". It matches the Rfam family "Bacterial small subunit ribosomal RNA", at positions 28 to 507 of the family's 1533-position model. The record is from RNAcentral.